UAGGGAAUAUUGGACAAUGGGCGAAAGCCUGAUCCAGCAAUGCCGCGUGAGUGAUGAAGGCCUUAGGGUUGUAAAGCUCUUUUACCCGGGAUGAUAAUGACAGUACCGGGAGAAUAAGCCCCGGCUAACUCCGUGCCAGCAGCCGCGGUAAUACGGAGGGGGCUAGCGUUGUUCGGAAUUACUGGGCGUAAAGCGCACGUAGGCGGCUUUGCAAGUCAGAGGUGAAAGCCCGGGGCUCAACCCCGGAAUUGCCUCUGAUACUGUUGGUCUCGAGUCCGGAAGAGGUGGGUGGAAUUCCUAGUGUAGAGGUGAAAUUCGUAGAUAUUAGGAAGAACACCGGUGGCGAAGGCGGCCCACUGGUCCGGUACUGACGCUGAGGUGCGAAAGCGUGGGGAGCAAA
RNAcentral lists this ribosomal RNA (400 nucleotides) under uncultured bacterium. RNAcentral describes it as "bacterial SSU rRNA". It matches the Rfam family "Bacterial small subunit ribosomal RNA", at positions 355 to 772 of the family's 1533-position model. The record is from RNAcentral.